CCUGGUGGUUAGAGUGUAGAGGUGGCAGGUGGCCUAGUGGUUAGAGUGUAGAGGUGGCAGGUGGCCUAGUGGUUAGAGUGUAGAGGUGGCAGGUAGCCUCGUGGUUAGAGUGUAGAGGUGGCAGGUAGCCUCGUGGUUAGAGUGUAGAGGUGGCAGGUAGCCUCGUGGUUAGAGUGUAGAGGUGGCAGGUAGCCUAGUGGUUAGAGUGUAGAGGUGGCAGGUAGCCUAGUGGUUAGAGUGUAGAGGUGGCAGGUAGCCUAGUGGUUAGAGUGUAGAGGUGGCAGGUAGCCUAGUGGUUAGAGUGUAGAGGUGGCAGGUAGCCUAGUGGUUAGAGUGUAGAGGUGGCAGGUAGCCUAGUGGUUAGAGUGUAGAGGUGGCAGGUGGCCUAGUGGUUAGAGUGUAGAGGUGGCAGGUAGCCUGGUGG
Long non-coding RNA from Oncorhynchus keta (chum salmon), 424 nucleotides. RefSeq lists it as uncharacterized. The transcript is spliced from 3 exons. NCBI's taxonomy places the organism in Eukaryota, Metazoa, Chordata, Actinopteri, Salmoniformes, Salmonidae. The record is from RefSeq and is a predicted model, not a curated record.